GCCUGAUGGAAGUGCUAAAAUCAAUGUUUAUCACCUGUUUAAGAGCAGAUGAGGGAAGGAGGAGCCAUCUGUCAGAAGGUUUGCAGCUUCUGAGAGAGCCUGGAAGCAGUUUCUGAUGGAUAUCUUCAUCCUGAGAAGCAGAGAGGAAAAUCCAGAAUCUCUGCUGUGUUCAACACAGUGACGCAUGGCUUCGUCUGUGAGGGUAUCAGCUGUGUCAGUGUUGGGAAUAGUACCAAAAUCCAGGCAGUAAAAUCUCUGAGGGACAUGCAGGCUUUGGUGCUAGCAUGGUUUCCACCUUCAGCUGCAGCCACGACUUGGUGA
Long non-coding RNA from Passer domesticus (house sparrow), 321 nucleotides. RefSeq lists it as uncharacterized. Lineage: Eukaryota; Metazoa; Chordata; Aves; Passeriformes; Passeridae. The transcript is spliced from 3 exons. The record is from RefSeq and is a predicted model, not a curated record.